RNAcentral lists this long non-coding RNA (883 nucleotides) under Homo sapiens (human). RNAcentral's name for it is "MIR9-1 host gene". Lineage: Eukaryota; Metazoa; Chordata; Mammalia; Primates; Hominidae. The record is from RNAcentral.
GGCAGUCCAGCCGCAGGGGCCACCCGAACAGUCUCUCCUCCUCACAGAAGCCUGGAGCUGGGCAUCCAAGAAGAAGCAGCCUCAUUUGUUUUCUGGUGUCAUCGUAGGUGGCCACCUAUGGCUUUUGGGCUUCUCACCUGGGGCGGGUGGGUUCUGCACCACCCUCCCACCCUCCUUCCUCCGUGUGGACGAUAGAGCCACAUCCAGCACCACGGACAGCUCCCGGGCGAUCCCAUGGGAGUAGAAGAGGUGUGAGCAGGUUGCCCAGCUGGUUAGCGGAAAUGCCAAGAUCCAGGCUCCUGAAUUUCAGCCUGGCCCUUUCUAUCUGUCUGAUACCUCCUUUACGAGUCUCUCUGCCUGCGUUGUGUGGAGCGGGCCUGCUGCUGGUUGGGGGAGUUUGCAGCCUUCAUCUCCUCGUCCUCCAGGCAGCACAAGCCAUUGUGGAAUCUCCACCAGGUGUACAGAACGGUGCCUCUGCGUCCUGCCACUCAGGACCUCUCAAGUCCCCGAUGUGAUGGCUCCUCAGCAUGAUCAGGAACCAAAAAGAAGAAUGUACUUCAUCUGGUUGGGCUGGAUUCCCUCUGAUAAGCCUUCCCAGUUGACUGAAAGAUGAGGCUAGGCUCUAGCAAGUUGAAGUCAAACCAGCUCCUUCAAGAAGCUUUGAGCAGAAUGAAGUGGGGAGGACCCAGCUUCCAGCCCAGGAAGCCCACUGUACCUGGAGCCAUCUGGGAUAAGACUUUGACCCAUGACUCCCAUAUCCACAGCCUGUCCAUCCUAGCCCAUCCCAGUUUAUCCUGUAUCAUUUGAGCUGGGAUUCCCACAUCCUCUGAGUUGGAAGUCCCAUCUCAAGUCUUCAAUAAAGACUCUUGAAUAUUGAAUCACA